RNAcentral lists this long non-coding RNA (227 nucleotides) under Elaeis guineensis (African oil palm). Its description in RNAcentral is "long non-coding RNA (EGUI_LNC065863)". Lineage: Eukaryota; Viridiplantae; Streptophyta; Magnoliopsida; Arecales; Arecaceae. The record is from RNAcentral.
GGGUACUGUUGGUGCAAAAAUCUGCCUGCACCGGAGAAGCUGGAGUCAAGGGAGUCGCGGUCGUCGCCGGGACCUGCAAAAGAAGUCUAAAUUGGAGGUGGGGUUGAUCCGACAAGACCCUCCGAUGCUCAAGUCAGUUCUCUGCCUUAACAAGAAUGGAGUGCUUGAACAAAAAUUUUAGCAGAGUUUUUGGGAUAGAAAAUAGAGCUUAGAGAAUAACGUAUCUG